This 484-nucleotide ribosomal RNA is filed under the name uncultured bacterium. Its description in RNAcentral is "partial 16S ribosomal RNA". It matches the Rfam family "Bacterial small subunit ribosomal RNA", at positions 30 to 507 of the family's 1533-position model. The record is from RNAcentral.
AUUGAACGCUGGCGGCAGGCCUAACACAUGCAAGUCGAGCGGAAGAACUGAGCUUGCUCGUGGUUUCAGAGGGGGACGGGGGAGUGAUGCAUAGGAAUGUGCCUGGCUGCGGUUGAGAACGUGCGGAAGAAGGCGCUAAUACUGCAUACGUGCUGAGGGGGUAGGAGGGGAAUCUGGGGAGCUUACGCGUUUGGGUGAGGCUAGGUCGGAUUAGCUAGUUGGUGGGGUAAAGGCCUAACAAGGCGACGAUCCGUAACUGGUCUGAGAGGAUGAUCAGUCACACUGGAACUGAGACACGGUCCAGACUCCUACGGGAGGCAGCAGUGGGGAAUAUUGGACAAUGGGCGAAAGCCUGAUCCAGCCAUGCCGCGUGUGUGAAGAAGGUCUUCGGAGUGUAAAGCACUUUACGUUGGGAGGAAAAGCAGUAAGUUAAUACCUUGCUGUCUUGACGUGACCAAUAGAAUAAGCACCGGCGAACUUCGUG